This 1006-nucleotide long non-coding RNA is filed under the name Rattus norvegicus (Norway rat). RNAcentral describes it as "long non-coding RNA NONRATT024598". The record is from RNAcentral. Lineage: Eukaryota; Metazoa; Chordata; Mammalia; Rodentia; Muridae.
GGCAUGUCAGCCAUGUUGCUCUUAAGUAGUGGUUUAACAGUGGCAUAUGUGAUAUUUCCUCUUGCCAGAUAGUGAACAAGUCUCUCUCCGGUGUCUCUAGAAUUUUCCUUAUCGUCAUAAAGGACUUAGCAUUUUUAGUAAACUUUUUCCUUUAUCAGUACAGUGUGUUAACCUCACACUUUUGUUGCUUGAUUAACUAGCAGUCCUACUGUGUGUCAGCAUCCUUAGUUCUUCUAGGUCUGUCACUUAUGACCAGGAUAGUGUCUGCACCUUAGUAGACAGGUGAAUGCUUAAAAAGUUAAGGUUCUCUCUCAAGAAACUUCUAUGUCUAAUUCUGAAAGCUUACUGGGAUAGUUUAGAACGUGCACAGACCUAAUGAAAUGUCGGUGUUUGGCUGAUUACAUGUUUUUAAUAAUUAGUAGCACAUUUUCCCCUUCAAAAAUAUGUCUGCGAAUAGUUUUCUAACAAUUUAAGUGGGUAUAAUUUUUAUUAAUGUCUUUAAUAUAAUGCUUUUAAUACCUUAGAGGUUAAAACCUCAUGAAUUGUGCUGUGUUGAAAAAUGUAAGUUACAAUAAAUCUUAAAGAAAGAACAAAACCACAUAUGGACUCGAGCUUUAUUUGCCCUGGGCUGAAAAUUAAGCGAAGUCCCACUUAAAUUCUUGCUUUAAUGCUUGAGACUUUCCUGACCAUUUUUAUGUUGGACUGUGUUUUGUUACAAUAAUUUAAGCAAAACUAUUUUAUACCUUUCCCAAAUUAAAAGUAAGAAUGAUGACCUCCAUGAUGUCUCCGUGUUUUGUUUCUGUAUCUUGCAUGAAAUGCAGUGAUGGAGUCAGUUUACCUGUUGUGUUCGGGGAGCGCUAUGUUGUCAGAGUCGGAGCAGCAUAGUACUGCAGUGCUCGCACUCACGCCCGUCUCUAGAGCUGUCGGUCUCAUCGGCACAUCAUUGUGUUUCUUUAAUGUUGAGGGAAUAAGUGGCCAUCAUUAGGAAUCGUAUGUGCCAACCCUU